UUUACAACACAUUUGGAUCUCAAUCCCAUUGUGUGCAAAAAGUACAUUUACUGUCCAGAACAUCAAGACUAAACUUUUAAAGAUGAUCUAAAAUGGAAUGAAAUUAGAUUAUGGGAGGUGACAGUCAUGUGUAGAAUGUUGCAAAGACAUGAUGACUUUAAACAGUCAGUCACAGACUUUCAUCAUAAGGAAACAGUCACAAACUAGCACUGCGGUGGUGACUACAUUAAGGGAGUCCAGCGCAAAGUAGAGAAACAAUAAGCUACCAUCAAUUUCCCUUCAUUCAUGUAUCAUUCCUCCUCAUUCAUUCGCUUGCUUCCCCAGUGAGAUUUACAGCAGCAGUGCCAUCGAAUUUCACAGCGACUGACCGGCAGUCAUGUGACCAGAACAGACCUGAGCAGAGAGGCUUAGUACCAAUCUGAGGCUAAAACCAAAACGCCGUCCAUUUGGAGCAACCCCAAAGUGUCGCAUCACUCUUCUAGGAUUGAAAUUCAGACAUUACGUCGGCAAGGUCAUGCCUUUUCCAGUGUUGAUCAUUAGAAGCUAUAUUUAUUCAGAUGUGGGCGGAGGUGUAAGAAGGUGAGGGGGACACGUACCAGCUUCUUCUCUCAACACAUUAACAAGCUAAUCAGUUGAGUAGUUAGCUCAAUGUCAUUCAUGUCGCACAACAACCUUUGUUUAUAUCCUAAGACUUUAAUAACAAGAUGCUCGGCCUUACCUUCUUCACUAUAUCCUUGAAUGGCUUGGGAGUAUUUUUCCAGCGCUUCGCCAAACUGUCCAUUCUUAAACAGCAGGUUUCCUUCAUUCUUUAAGCGGGAUAGAGACAAGGGGAGGGCUCCACACAGCACAUCGAGAUUGACAGGUUCGCCAACAUUUGGAGCUGCUGGAGCUUUCUUGCUGCUGC
This is a long non-coding RNA of Syngnathus acus (greater pipefish), 904 nucleotides long. RefSeq lists it as uncharacterized. NCBI's taxonomy places the organism in Eukaryota, Metazoa, Chordata, Actinopteri, Syngnathiformes, Syngnathidae. The record is from RefSeq and is a predicted model, not a curated record. The transcript is spliced from 2 exons.